UGGGACAGUCAUUGACUACUGACAAGCUUAAGGCAAGGGAACCUACAACCAUGAAGCAAAAAUUACAGUUCUUCUUUCUUUUCGUCUGCAUGAUUUUGUUGUCAGGAGUUUUCGUUACACCAGCAGUAGGAGAGUCACCAGGAUGCACUAUAAUGCCCAGAAAAGUGACUUGCUCAAACCCCGUACUACGUAAAGUAUGCAAGUGUUAAUUGUCAACGAUUCUUUGAAAUGGAACAUCAAUGUGGAAUGGCCGCCACUUCUAGAUGACACACCAAUAAUCAGAAAAAGUGUACCGGUUAUUAAAUAAUUAAAUAGUGUUCCUGUAUAUAUUAAAUACGCAUAUUUAGACAUUAUACAGAUAAACACAUCCGUUCCAGAUUAUUACCAUUCGUCACGUUCUACACAAAAACUGCACACAGUUAAAUAUUUAUCGCGUAAAGUUGGAAUUGCAUUUUCAAACGUUCUCAUAAUCUACAUUAAAAAUAUUUUACACGAAGAUUUCCUUAUAAGAAGAGGAAAUCACUGUGAUAGUUAUUGGCUACUGACAAGCUUAGUACAGUAUAACCUGCAAUAAUGAACCACAACCUACAGCUCCUCUUUCUGUUUCUUUCCAUGAUUUUGUUGUCAGGAAUUUUUGUGACACCUGCAGUUGGAGUAACCAGCUGUAUUGCGCCACGGUAAUGUGUAAGGACUGAGAUAUAUUAUUAAUCGGACGCAUUCACGAUCCUUGAUAUGUAUAAUAUCAUUUCCGUUUCUGCAACUCGGAUGAUGUCCUAACGGUAACCGAAACCUCACGCAUGAUCCGACAACGCACAUAGUUCUCACGAACUAUAUAAUUGGACUGACGAGGUUUGGUACAUUCAGGAUAUGUAGCGAAUAUGCAAACACCGUACAUGCAAGAAUAUGCUAACUAUAUGCAAAAUGUAUAUCAUCUAUAUAGAACGUAGAUGAUAUUUAUGUGAUAUUUAUGUGACGUACGUAAGAAUGUGUUUAACAUUGCACAAACUUGUCUAAAAAAUUAUUCAAAUAUUAACUUUUUUGCAUUAGAAACAAAAUAUAAUUUUAUUCGUAUUAUACAAAUAACAUAUUUAUAUACCUUUGCAGCUAUUUUAAACUGUAUUAACAUUUUUAUGUAUUAACUCUAUACAUUUUUAAAGAAUUAAUCUCUCAAAGUUCAUUAACUUUAUCAACUUUCUCAGUAUCUGAUUAUUAAUAUUACACUGUACAUAAUACUUCUAUGCAUUAGGUUGCAUGCAUGAUUUUAGUGAGAAUAACAUACAAUACCUUUCUCCAAAUUCUCAAUUGAAAAUUGAUGCCUUUUGUCAGACGUAUAAGAUUACCUUUUUAAUAUUACACAAUGUAAUUGACACAUGUUUCAAAUUACAGCAAAAGCAUCUUGCAACAAUUUCUGAUUGGCAGUCCUUACAAAAUAGGCGAACUUCUUUAUAUUUUAAAAUGUGCAAGAGAAAAAAAUAUAAUUUUUAUGUCUUUUAAUGACGAAACAUAUUUCUGUUAAUAUUUUAUUUGUUUUGUUGAUUUCUCUGGAUUAUUCAUGUGCAUAAAUUCCCGCAGUUUGGUUCCAAUUGUAGAACAACUUUUUAAUAAAUUUGUAUCCCACUGCGAACGAAGCUUUUUCAUAGGGCAAAGCACAUUGGACUGGAAUGGCUCAAUUAUAAGAAUUGUUAUGUCAUUCACAUUAUUAAUGCUCAGCGUUUUGGAAACACCUUUACUAUACGCGUUUUACGUUAUUCAACUAACAUGCUCAAUAUGAGUUUCAUUUUUGUAUAAUUUUAGGACCAGUUUACUAGAUAAUACGCAGAAUAUGAACUUGCGGAAAAAUUUCAAUUGAUUUGAUUAACAUUAAUAGAAAUAAGAAAAUUACCGAAUCAAAAUACCUUUAAAAUGCGGAAUCAACAGUUUUAGUUUCCUGAAAUUGCUUUGAUAUGUUUUUGCCUUGAUCUUGUUAAAACACUUAAGAAACAUGUAGCAAAUAAAGAUGAAGAAAUGGUAAAAUUAUGGUUUCCAAACAAAAAAAAUAAGCUUUUAUAUUCAUAUAACUCGACCAAAUCACAGGAAACGCAAUAAUAUAAUUGAUUUCUUAGAUAUAUUUUUUUAAAUAAAGUAAUUCAGUAACUGAAACAGUUACACAAAGACACAAGUCUUUGACGUAAGUAUUGGUACAUAUAUUUUAUAAUAAUUUAUGCUAAAUAGUUUAAAACCGAAUACUUCAUAUUUUUACGUUCUUGUUACACUUAUUUACAAAGAACUCAUCACGGUAAUUGAAGCCCAGUAAUUGACACACAGUAAUUAGAAAAGGCUCAGUAAUUGAGACACAGUAAUUACAUUUUCAUCUUUUCAAGGGCACAGUAACUCGCUCAAAAAAUUGUCAUGUAUAUUUUGUUAAAUAUUUCGUAUUGCUUGUAUAUUUUACUUAUGAAAUUUAUUAUUAAAAUGUUUGAAAUAGUGAGACAUAGGUUAAAAAACCGAUCUAAUUCGUUAAAAACUCUGGACAUUACUUUAAUCGACACAGUAAUAACAGUAAUUGGUAACUUCCAAUAAAAACACAUCUUCCGUUCUGGACCUGAAAUGACUAACGCAUCGUCGAUCUCUUAGAUAUCAAAUGCGCUGUUAUACCGAGAGUAUAGUAGCUUGCAGAAACCCGACACUUUUCUUAUUAUUUUCUUUUAGCAUUUUCAUAAUAAUAAUAAUAAUAAUAAUAAUAAUAAUAAUAAUAAUAAUAAUAAUAAUAAUAAAAACACUCUACACAUUUGUUUGUUUCGGUCAAGUGUUAAUUAGCAACGAUUCUUCGAAUAUAAACACCAGUGUGGCCAGAUGACUCACCAAUUAUCGAAAAAAAUGUAUUGGAUACUAAAUAAUUAAAUAGUGUUUCUGUGUAUACAAACGCACAUUUUCCUUGGACAAUAAAUAGAUAAGUGCAA
This is a long non-coding RNA of Megalopta genalis, 2939 nucleotides long. RefSeq lists it as uncharacterized. Lineage: Eukaryota; Metazoa; Arthropoda; Insecta; Hymenoptera; Halictidae. The record is from RefSeq and is a predicted model, not a curated record.